Molecule: ribosomal RNA, 484 nt
Filed under: uncultured bacterium
Lineage: Bacteria
Description: partial 16S ribosomal RNA
Rfam family: Bacterial small subunit ribosomal RNA
Source: RNAcentral
GACGAACGCUGGCGGCGUGCUUAACACAUGCAAGUCGAACGAUGAACCCGGAGCUUGCUCCGGUGGAUUAGUGGCGAACGGGUGAGGAACACGUGAGUAACCUGCCCUUGACUCUGGGAUAACUGCGGGAAACUGUAGCUAAUACCGGAUACGACCCUCGGCGGCAUCGCCAGGGGGUGGAAAGAAUUUCGGUCAAGGAUGGACUCGCGGCCUAUCAGCUAGUUGGUGAGGUAACGGCUCACCAAGGCGACGACGGGUAGCCGGCCUGAGAGGGUGACCGGCCACACUGGGACUGAGACACGGCCCAGACUCCUACGGGAGGCAGCAGUGGGGAAUAUUGCACAAUGGGCGAAAGCCUGAUGCAGCAACGCCGCGUGAGGGAUGCCGGCCUUCGGGUUGUAAACCUCUUUUAGUAGGGAAGAAGCGAAAGUGACGGUACCUGCAGAAAAAGCACCGGCUAACUACGUGCCAGCCGCCGCCGUAA